This 253-nucleotide ribosomal RNA is filed under the name uncultured bacterium. RNAcentral describes it as "partial 16S ribosomal RNA". It matches the Rfam family "Bacterial small subunit ribosomal RNA", at positions 524 to 776 of the family's 1533-position model. The record is from RNAcentral.
GACGUAGGGCGCGAGCGUUGUCCGGAUUUAUUGGGCGUAAAGAGCUCGUAGGCGGCUUGUCGCGUCGACUGUGAAAACCCACGGCUUAACUGUGGGCUUGCAGUCGAUACGGGCAGGCUAGAGUUCGGUAGGGGAGACUGGAAUUCCUGGUGUAGCGGUGAAAUGCGCAGAUAUCAGGAGGAACACCGGUGGCGAAGGCGGGACUCUGGGCCGAUACUGACGCUGAGGAGCGAAAGCGUGGGUAGCAAACAGG